Molecule: long non-coding RNA, 1663 nt
Organism: Sebastes umbrosus (honeycomb rockfish)
Lineage: Eukaryota; Metazoa; Chordata; Actinopteri; Perciformes; Sebastidae
Exons: 2
Source: RefSeq, a predicted model, not a curated record
AGCUUAGAUCAAAUGUUGAUCAGUAUGUUUAGUGUGCAAGUUGCUGAGGAACUCUCAUGACCUUGUCCAGGAAUUUAGUCUAUGAAGCAGCAAUGUUGGUGCCUGCUGAUGCAGGUGUGGCCUUGGGUGCAAGGAAGAGUUGGGAAGGACAUCAUAAUAGGCUAAUACAUACUAUUAAGCAUCCUUAGAUGUAUAUUUAAAUUAUGAAAAAUCAAUUUAAAAUAUUCUUUGAAAAUGGCAUUAGGGUUGAAAGCAUAAGGGCCCACACUAAUGAAACAUGUGUCACCCAAAUUACUAAAUGCUGUCCCACUUUACCACAAACACCUCCCUGUAAAAUAGUUUUGUGGUAUGAUACAAUACAACUUUGUUGUCAGUUUGCACUGAAAUUCAUUUUGCAUCCAUAGGCAGCUCAGUUUGAUAGAAAGUACAGAGAAAGACAUACUGUUACCACAGACAGACAGACAAGUAAGUUAUUAUUCUAGUUAUUAUUAUUCAUACAUAACCCAUUACAAAAUUACCAUCUGUCCUCUGGAUUUACAUGUCUUUAGCAGCACAUUAUUUAUUAUUUAGCAAUUUAUUAUUAGGUAACUUCAACAAAAUGGUGAGCCAUGCUUUGUAAAAAAAAAAAUUUAAAAAAAUCAUACAAUAAAGUCGACACCUUGAUGAAUUCAGAAAUGUAUGUGUUGGGUUAUUUUUUUUUUUUUAAUUGAUUUACAAAAAAAAACUUGCUGAAUUCACCCCAGUGGCAUUUAAAGCACUCCUAACCAAUUCCUGUAAAACCAGAAGCCAAUUCCCGUAAACCCUUUAAAAACCUUUCAGUUUCCUUCUGACUGCCAGGUGGGAAGUUAUUCACACGGAAUUCCCCGUUUGGAAAAAGAAACUCUUACAGUUCCCAACAGUAAAGCAGCCAGUCGCUCGGAGAGGAGAAGGCAAGUGGACGCAUGCAAGUGUAGUCGGCUCCGGUAAUUACAGACAUCCAUCAGGAUUAUGACAGCGGUGUCCUGAAGCAUUACGCCGUGGGAGCCAGAACGUGAUCAGGGUAACCCCCGACAACCUCAAAUACACAGAUGUUGUUCCGCAGCAAGAUGCCUCUUGUUUCCUUGUGCGUUGUGAUUCACUUACAAACUAUGCGUGCUGUGUGCUGAGACAGAAAACAUCAAAGGUGUUACAUUGCUUUCACUUUGAUUACCCGUGGUUAUCAUGUGUGUGCCGAUGCAAACUUUCCAUCUGUUUCACCAGUUACUUUCUUCCUUUAAUGUUGAGGAUACAUAUCGAAUAUUGGAAUGAAGGAAGUGCAUAAACAAAUUAUUUUUGUUUUUUAUGGCCACCAUGGACUUUUAGAUGAGUGACGUUUGCAAUGUGUUGACAGUCAAGUUAAUCUAGGUUGUCAAAUACAAAGUACAUGCUGUAUCAUGCAUUGUGUCUUCUUUCCUGAGACACUAUAAUGCCAAAAAUAAUCAGAAUAAAAGAAAUGAUCUAACAAAUGAUAAAGUAACUUGUCCCUCUAAACAGGUUUACCUUUAACAAAAUACUGAAUAGUGAAUUAAAGCGGCCCUUAAUAUACUACUGUGGUAUUUUAACAAUAAUUAACUUGACUUAUAUUGCAUUUUUCUAUUGCCAAAUUGCAAACUGCAGCUGAGUGUAAUAUAAUUUUAGGACUGUA